Molecule: long non-coding RNA, 207 nt
Organism: Drosophila persimilis
Lineage: Eukaryota; Metazoa; Arthropoda; Insecta; Diptera; Drosophilidae
Exons: 3
Source: RefSeq, a predicted model, not a curated record
GAGCUUAUUACCUGCUUGCUCGUGCAGUGACUGUGAAUUAUCUUGCCCGAAAGCCCCACCAAAAACCGAGUGUCCCGAGCAAUAUAAAAUAGCCGGAUUUGAUGCCUAUGUCGUAAUAAUGUCAUCAGUUUAUUUUGUAGGAGUUUUUAUUUUCCUCAUGGGAUCAUUUGUAUUUACUCAAGAUUCGAUAAUAGAUGAAAACCCGAC